RNAcentral lists this ribosomal RNA (252 nucleotides) under uncultured bacterium. RNAcentral's name for it is "partial 16S ribosomal RNA". It matches the Rfam family "Bacterial small subunit ribosomal RNA", at positions 524 to 775 of the family's 1533-position model. The record is from RNAcentral.
UACAGAGGGUGCAAGCGUUAAUCGGAAUUACUGGGCGUAAAGGGUGCGUAGGUGGUUUAAGAAGUUGGGCGUGAAAUCCCCGGGCUUAACCUGGGAACUGCGUUCAAAACGCUUAAGCUAGAGUAUGGUAGAGGUAAGUGGAAUUUCCGGUGUAGCGGUGAAAUGCGUAGAGAUCGGAAGGAACAUCAGUGGCGAAGGCGACUUACUGGACUAAUACUGACACUGAGGCACGAAAGCGUGGGGAGCAAACAG